GUCAAUACUGACUGUGAAUUUUACUGAUGAUGAUGAUCUAGAGCGGGAUGAUUACGAAUACUUUAAGGGAUAUCUCAAAAAUUGUGAAGAUAUUGGAAUACUUCCACUGCAAAAUGUGCUCCUUUAUUUUUCUAUAUACAAGUACCUACCCGUAUUUGGCUUUCAGUUCUCAUCAACGUUGACAUUUCAUGAAGAAACUUAUCCAAUGGCUUCAACUUGCGCACUUAGCUUAGUAAUACCUAUGAAGCACAUGGAUUAUGUCAACUUUAGACUGGCAAUGGACAAGGCUAUGGUCUAUUAUGGUGAUUAAGGAAAAACAUAUUUGCACUUUUAUCACUUUUACUGUGACAUUGGUUAGACAAGUAUCAUUUGCUCUCAUCAUUUAUUCUUAUCACUGGUUAAACAUGUUAUCAUUAAUCCUGA
Molecule: long non-coding RNA, 423 nt
Organism: Amphimedon queenslandica
Lineage: Eukaryota; Metazoa; Porifera; Demospongiae; Haplosclerida; Niphatidae
Exons: 2
Source: RefSeq, a predicted model, not a curated record